GACAGAGGUCUCGAGCGUUAGGCGGAAUCACUGGGCUUAAAGCGUGUGUAGGCGGAGUGCUAAGUACCUUGUGAAAUCCCACGGCUCACCCGUGGAACUGCUGGGCAUACUGGCGAUCUUGGGCCAACUAGGGGCAACUGGAACAAGCGGUGGAGCGGUGAAAUGCGUAGAUAUCGCUUGGAACGCCGAAGGUGAAAACAGGUUGCUGGGGUUGUGCCGACGCUGAGACACGAAAGCCAGGGGAGCAAACGGG
This 253-nucleotide ribosomal RNA is filed under the name uncultured bacterium. RNAcentral's name for it is "partial 16S ribosomal RNA". It matches the Rfam family "Bacterial small subunit ribosomal RNA", at positions 524 to 776 of the family's 1533-position model. The record is from RNAcentral.